UAGUCAUAUGCUUGUCUCAAAGAUUAAGCCAUGCAUGUCUCAGUGUAAACUUUUAAACAGUGAAACUGCGAAUGGCUCAUUAAAACAGUUAUAGUUUAUUUGAUAAUCAACUUUACAUGGAUAACCGUGGGAAUUCUAGGGCUAAUACAUGCGUACCCCGCAAGGGAUGUGUUUAUUAGAUUUAAAACCAUCGCCAGGUUUACCUGGGACUGUUGGAAUAAUAAUAACCGAUCGAAUCGCAUGCUUUACGGCGGCGAUAAAUCAUUCGAGUUUCUGA
This 277-nucleotide ribosomal RNA is filed under the name uncultured eukaryote. RNAcentral's name for it is "partial 18S ribosomal RNA". It matches the Rfam family "Eukaryotic small subunit ribosomal RNA", at positions 21 to 310 of the family's 1831-position model. The record is from RNAcentral.